CUGGGUGUAGCUCAGUUUGGUAGAGUUCUUGGCUUGGAACCAAGAUGUCGGAGGUUCAAAUCCUCCCGCCCAGACCA
RNAcentral lists this transfer RNA (77 nucleotides) under Porticoccus sp. RNAcentral describes it as "tRNA-Pro". It matches the Rfam family "tRNA". Rfam says of the family: Transfer RNA (tRNA) molecules are approximately 80 nucleotides in length. Their secondary structure includes four short double-helical elements and three loops (D, anti-codon, and T loops). Further hydrogen bonds mediate the characteristic L-shaped molecular structure. tRNAs have two regions of fundamental functional importance: the anti-codon, which is responsible for specific mRNA codon recognition, and the 3' end, to which the tRNAs corresponding amino acid is attached (by aminoacyl-tRNA synthetases). tRNAs cope with the degeneracy of the genetic code in two manners: having more than one tRNA (with a specific anti-codon) for a particular amino acid; and 'wobble' base-pairing, i.e. permitting non-standard base-pairing at the 3rd anti-codon position. Lineage: Bacteria; Pseudomonadati; Pseudomonadota; Gammaproteobacteria; Cellvibrionales; Porticoccaceae. The record is from RNAcentral.